GAGGGUCUGGCUCAAGUGGUAAAGUGCAUGCUUGGCAUGCACGAGGGCUUGGGUUCAAUCCCCAGGACCUCCA
This 73-nucleotide transfer RNA is filed under the name Camelus ferus (Wild Bactrian camel). It matches the Rfam family "tRNA". Rfam says of the family: Transfer RNA (tRNA) molecules are approximately 80 nucleotides in length. Their secondary structure includes four short double-helical elements and three loops (D, anti-codon, and T loops). Further hydrogen bonds mediate the characteristic L-shaped molecular structure. tRNAs have two regions of fundamental functional importance: the anti-codon, which is responsible for specific mRNA codon recognition, and the 3' end, to which the tRNAs corresponding amino acid is attached (by aminoacyl-tRNA synthetases). tRNAs cope with the degeneracy of the genetic code in two manners: having more than one tRNA (with a specific anti-codon) for a particular amino acid; and 'wobble' base-pairing, i.e. permitting non-standard base-pairing at the 3rd anti-codon position. Lineage: Eukaryota; Metazoa; Chordata; Mammalia; Artiodactyla; Camelidae. The record is from Rfam by way of RNAcentral.